GUCCACGCUGUAAACGAUGGAUGCUAGGUGUCGGGGCCUUGAGCUUCGGUGCCGCAGCUAACGCGUUAAGCAUCCCGCCUGGGGAGUACGGUCGCAAGGCUGAAACUCAAAGAAAUUGACGGGGGCCCGCACAAGCGGUGGAGUAUGUGGUUUAAUUCGAUGCAACGCGAAGAACCUUACCCAGGCUUGACAUCCGGGAAACCCUCCCGAAAAGGAGGGGUGCUCUUCGGAGAAUCCCGAGACAGGUGCUGCAUGGCUGUCGU
RNAcentral lists this ribosomal RNA (263 nucleotides) under uncultured bacterium. RNAcentral describes it as "partial 16S ribosomal RNA". It matches the Rfam family "Bacterial small subunit ribosomal RNA", at positions 793 to 1055 of the family's 1533-position model. The record is from RNAcentral.